AGUGAACGCUGGCGGUAGGCCUAACACAUGCAAGUCGAACGGCAGCACAGUAAUAGCGUGCUCUUACGGUUGGCGAGUGGCGGAUGGGUGAGGAAUACAUCGGAAUCGACUUUGUCGUAGGUGAUAACGAAGGGAAACAUACCCGAAUACCGCAUCCGACCUACGGGUGAAAGCAGGGGAGCUUCGGAGCUUGCGCGAGUGAAUGAGGCUAUGUCGGAUUAGCUAGUUGGCGGGGUAAAGGCAGACCAAGGCGACGAGCCGUAGCUGGUCUGGGAGGAUGACCACCGACACUGGGACUGAGACACGGUCCUGACUCCUACGGGCGGCCGCAGUGGGGACUAUUGGACACUGGGCGCAAGCCUGCUCCAGGCAUACCGCGUGGGUGCAGAAGGGCUUCGGGUUGUAAAGCCCUUUUGUUGUGGAAGAACACCAUCACGCUAAUCCACCGCUGUUGUGACGGUACCCAAUGAAUAAGCACCGGCUAACUUCGUG
Molecule: ribosomal RNA, 492 nt
Filed under: uncultured bacterium
Lineage: Bacteria
Description: partial 16S ribosomal RNA
Rfam family: Bacterial small subunit ribosomal RNA
Source: RNAcentral